This is an RNA transcript of Physeter macrocephalus (sperm whale), 2003 nucleotides long. It is a transcript of the gene named endomucin, with no coding region annotated. The transcript is spliced from 13 exons. The record is from RefSeq and is a predicted model, not a curated record. Lineage: Eukaryota; Metazoa; Chordata; Mammalia; Artiodactyla; Physeteridae.
GGGCAGUGGCUGUUCAAACCCAGCACACCUUUUCCAUUUGCUAAGAAGGCCCUGCCAGGCUGGGAGGGAGUUGUCCCUGCCUGACUCUGGAGAGAAGAGCCACUGUGACGAUCCACAGGCACCAUGAAACUGCUUCAAGGGGCCAUACUUUGUCUUCUUCUGUCCAGUCUUUGUAGCGGUGUGGACGACGCAGAAGUCAAAGAUACAGCCACUCCUGUAUUAUCAUCAACUUCUGCAACAAAAACAUCUGUACCAACAUCAAACACAACGUCAUCACCAAAUGUUGCAGAGAAAUCAACAGUUGAAAUAUCUACUAAAGGAACUACCAGCAAGGAACCCUUAGAAACAUCUCUGCUGUCAACACUGUCUUCAGUAACCACAGCAGUUAAUGGUGAAGGAUCUACAGUCAAAGGUGUCACGAAGACUGAGUUCAUCACUCCAAGAGCAACAGUGAUAAAUCUUCCACUUCCAAAUGCUAUUUCAACAUUACAAAGUUCCCAAUCCAAGACUGAGAUUCAGAGUUCAAUCAAAGCCACAGAAACACCAGUUAACACUCCACAACCAGAUGCAUCACCUUCCAGAAUCCCUACAUUAUCCUCAAUAUCAGUAACAAUUCUGGAAAACAUCUCCCAGUCUCAAGGCACUGAGAACGCAAAAAAUGCAAGCUCUUCUUCAACCAGCCCCUCUUAUUCCAGUAUUAUUUUGCCUGUGGUUAUUGCUUUGAUUGCAAUAACACUUUCAGUCUUUGCUUUGGUGGGUUUGUAUCGAAUGUGCUGGAAGACAGACCCAGGCACACCUGAAAAUGGAAAUGACCAACCUCAGUCCGAUAAAGAGAGUGUGAAGCUUCUCACUGUUAAGACAAUUUCUCAUGAGUCUGGUGAGCGCUCUGCACAAGGAAAAACCAAGAACUGACAGCUUGAUGAAUCCUCUCCACACCUGGGCAAUAAAUAUAGGUAAAUAGCUUCUGUUGCCUUUCUGAGUAAUUGUGGAAUUACAUAACAAUGUUCUGAAGAGUAAAGAUGAAAGUAAUGGGAAGAAACAUGUUUGAAAUUGGCUUACUCUUCAGCUUCUGUGCUCCAGGGGUAGAAAGGGAGAAAGUCCUGUGGAUUCAAUCCUGACUUCCAAUCCUGCUCGCCAGUGUGCACCAGUCACCUGUCCCAAUAAAGUGAUGUCCAGAUGACACGCAAUAAUCUAAGAGAAUUGGAAACCAUCCUGGGCCUCUCCUGUCCUUUAAGAUGUGAAAACACACAUUACCGCAUUUUACAGGAACAUUCCUAGGGGAGGGAAUUUUAGGAGGGGCAUCUGUGAGCAGGUAACCUGACAGCCCAGGCAGGUGGCUUCACUGAUGAAAUGACUGUCCCUUGAGUUUAAAGUUUUCAGAACUAACGUUUCUUAUCCACGGAGACCUUCCUACUUUCUCAGUGUUCUUUUCUUACCUAACGUUUGUAUUUAUUGUUUUCCACUAUGUUAAUGCAGGGAAAAUUUGCAAGUGUAUUAUUAAAUAUUGGGUCGAAAUCCUGCCAUGCUACUUUGUACGUAAAUAUACUUUAUUCAUACUUCCAUGUGUUACCUUUCAUAAAUAAUUGCUGUGCUCAACACACUAAAAAUACGAUAAUACGACUGUGAAAACGGCAAUGAUACUGUCUUCCCAUAAUUAUGAGUAUUUUUGGAUUGAUCAUCAGACUAUGAGAGCUCACUAAUGAAAGGCAUCUAAUAAGUGAGAAAGGGACAAAGGAGUCACGUAUCAGACCCUGUUCAAGGGAAGUCAAUUUACCAUUUCUUGGGUCUUUCUCUUUGUAAUUCACACUAUGUGACAAGGAUGUUAAGGGCAUUUAUGACACUCUGUACUGCGUUCAUUACGAAGAUAACAGGACUGUGAUUUUUCAUAAUCCACUUGAUUGACACCAUCUCUGUGCAUUUUUAUUUUCUUUUAGAAAUGUAUUGAUUUGUUCUAGCAAUCAUUGUGAAAUCUCCAGUUUGUAGAAACCAACAUUUCAUAAAUA